GGAGAGGUGGAUACCUGAGCUCAACCCUGGAGAUAUCAACCUGGUGGAGACCAAGACUGACACGCUGGGGAUCAGUAGCAGUAAGGUAACAGUGUUGGGUUACGGGCUGCUCACCACAGAUGCACGCUCCUGGUGGAGGCUCUGACCAGACAGAGGUUUAAUGUGGUGGUGGUGGAUGAGUCCCACUACCUCAAGUCCAGGAACGCAGCCAGGUCUAAGAUACUGGUACCACUCAUCCAGAACGCCAAGCGGGCCAUCCUACUGACGGGCACCCCGGCCCUGGGACGGCCAGAGGAGCUCUUUAUGCAGAUAGAGGCUCUCUAUCCUAGGAUGUUUGGA
Oncorhynchus masou masou (cherry salmon) is the source of this 339-nucleotide long non-coding RNA. RefSeq lists it as uncharacterized. The record is from RefSeq and is a predicted model, not a curated record. Lineage: Eukaryota; Metazoa; Chordata; Actinopteri; Salmoniformes; Salmonidae. The transcript has 3 exons.